RNAcentral lists this transfer RNA (82 nucleotides) under Salmonella phage vB_SenM-2. RNAcentral describes it as "tRNA-Tyr". It matches the Rfam family "tRNA". Rfam says of the family: Transfer RNA (tRNA) molecules are approximately 80 nucleotides in length. Their secondary structure includes four short double-helical elements and three loops (D, anti-codon, and T loops). Lineage: Duplodnaviria; Heunggongvirae; Uroviricota; Caudoviricetes; Pantevenvirales; Ackermannviridae. RNAcentral also lists the same sequence under 3 other names. The record is from RNAcentral.
GUGAGUGUGGCAGAGCGGUCGAAUGCGCCUGACUGUAAAUCAGGUAUCCCACGCGGUGGUUCGAAUCCAUCCACUCACACCA